AGAUGACGAGUGGCGCACGGGUGCGUAACGCGUAUGCAAUCUACCUUUUACUAGAGUAUAGCCCAGAGAAAUUUGGAUUAAUCCUCUAUAAUAUCUUUAAGUUUCAUGACUUUUAGAUUAAAGUUUUAACGGUAAAAGAUGAGCAUGCGUCCUAUUAGUUUGUAGGUGAGGUAACGGCUCACCUAGACUACGAUAGGUAGGGGCCCUGAGAGGGGGAUCCCCCACACUGGUACUGAGACACGGACCAGACUCCUACGGGAGGCAGCAGUAAGGAAUAUUGGACAAUGGACGAAAGUCUGAUCCAGCCAUGCCGCGUGCAGGAUGAAAGCCCUAUGGGUUGUAAACUGCUUUUAUACAGGAAGAAACACUCGUACGUGUACGAGCUUGACGGUACUGUAAGAAUAAGGACCGGCUAACUCCGUGCCAGCAGCCGCGGUAAUACGGAGGGUCCGAGCGUUAUCCGGAAUCAUUGGGUUUAAAGGGUCCGCAGGCGGUCUUUUAAGUCAGAGGUGAAAGCCUACAGCUCAACUGUAGAACGGCCUUUGAUACUGAAAGACUUGAGUUAUUAUGAAGUGGUUAGAAUGUGUGGUGUAGCGGUGAAAUGCAUAGAUAUCACACAGAAUACCGAUUGCGAAGGCAGAUCACUAAUAAUAUACUGACGCUCAUGGACGAAAGCGUGGGGAGCGAACAGGAUUAGAUAG
RNAcentral lists this ribosomal RNA (701 nucleotides) under uncultured bacterium. Its description in RNAcentral is "bacterial SSU rRNA". It matches the Rfam family "Bacterial small subunit ribosomal RNA", at positions 86 to 785 of the family's 1533-position model. The record is from RNAcentral.